RNAcentral lists this small RNA (100 nucleotides) under Arabidopsis thaliana (thale cress). RNAcentral describes it as "ATSL276140". The record is from RNAcentral. Lineage: Eukaryota; Viridiplantae; Streptophyta; Magnoliopsida; Brassicales; Brassicaceae.
CUGGUGGGUGUGCCGCGAAACUCCCUAUAUCUAUAGCUAAUAAUAACCGGAGAAGCCGAGAAACUAUCAACCUAAAUAUGCAUUCUUAACGAGUUUAAUU